RNAcentral lists this transfer RNA (74 nucleotides) under Pleuronectes platessa (European plaice). It matches the Rfam family "tRNA". Rfam says of the family: Transfer RNA (tRNA) molecules are approximately 80 nucleotides in length. Their secondary structure includes four short double-helical elements and three loops (D, anti-codon, and T loops). Lineage: Eukaryota; Metazoa; Chordata; Actinopteri; Pleuronectiformes; Pleuronectidae. The record is from Rfam by way of RNAcentral.
GUCUCUGUGGCGCCAUUGGUUAGCGCGUUCGGCUGUUAACCGAAAGGUUGGUGGUUCAAGCCCACCCAGGGACG